Etheostoma cragini (Arkansas darter) is the source of this 80-nucleotide long non-coding RNA. RefSeq lists it as uncharacterized. The transcript is spliced from 3 exons. The record is from RefSeq and is a predicted model, not a curated record. Lineage: Eukaryota; Metazoa; Chordata; Actinopteri; Perciformes; Percidae.
UAAUAUUUCUCUUUCUCGCAUAGUCAGACCUUCCUGCACAGCGCUGCGGAUGAGGGUCCGGCUAGUCCACACAACAUUCC